AAGAUUUUAAGUUAUACCUUUAAACUUUAAACCUUCAAAGUUUAAUAAAUAAUUUAUUAUAAAUCUUA
This 68-nucleotide transfer RNA is filed under the name Pheidole pieli. Its description in RNAcentral is "tRNA-Trp". Lineage: Eukaryota; Metazoa; Arthropoda; Insecta; Hymenoptera; Formicidae. The record is from RNAcentral.